This 75-nucleotide transfer RNA is filed under the name Arenibacter algicola. RNAcentral describes it as "tRNA-Pro". RNAcentral also lists the same sequence under 1 other name. Lineage: Bacteria; Pseudomonadati; Bacteroidota; Flavobacteriia; Flavobacteriales; Flavobacteriaceae. The record is from RNAcentral.
GGGGUGUAGCGUAGCCCGGUUAUCGCGCCGCGUUUGGGACGCGGAGGUCGUCACGCUUUGGGCGUGACCACCCCA